Molecule: ribosomal RNA, 445 nt
Filed under: uncultured Pseudomonadota bacterium
Lineage: Bacteria; Pseudomonadati; Pseudomonadota
Description: bacterial SSU rRNA
Rfam family: Bacterial small subunit ribosomal RNA
Source: RNAcentral
GGGCCCGCACAAGCGGUGGAGUAUGUGGUUUAAUUCGAUGCAACGCGAAGAACCUUACCUGGUCUUGACAUCCCGAGAAUCCUCCUGAAAGGGAGGAGUGCUCUUCGGAGAGCUCGGAGACAGGUGCUGCAUGGCUGUCGUCAGCUCGUGUCGUGAGAUGUUGGGUUAAGUCCCGCAACGAGCGCAACCCUUGCCUUUAGUUGCCAGCAGUUCGGCUGGGCACUCUAAAGGGACUGCCGGUGUCAAACCGGAGGAAGGUGGGGAUGACGUCAAGUCCUCAUGGCCCUUACGACCAGGGCUACACACGUACUACAAUGGCCGAUACAAAGGGCAGCGACAUUGCGAAAUGAAGCCAAUCCCAUAAAGUCGGUCUCAGUCCGGAUUGGAGUCUGCAACUCGACUCCAUGAAGUUGGAAUCGCUAGUAAUCGUGGAUCAAGCAUGCCA